Molecule: long non-coding RNA, 927 nt
Filed under: Homo sapiens (human)
Lineage: Eukaryota; Metazoa; Chordata; Mammalia; Primates; Hominidae
Description: small nucleolar RNA host gene 17 variant
Source: RNAcentral
CCGUCCCUCGCCGUCCUUCGCCAUCGCACGCCACCGCACCCCAUCUCUCGAAAUCUGCAGACAUCUUGAUUUUUCCCACGCUGUCUGUCAGGUCUCCGCCGCCACUCGACGCCAGGGCGCCGGGCCUUGUGGGCUGUGCUGCACCUCGGACGGCUUCGCACCAGCCAGCGCCCUCUCUCUCCUGCAGCACUCUGAUCUGCACCCCCUGAGGGGCUUCCACUGUCCGCGGGGUGAGAAUGCCCCUGGGAGUGUCACAUGACUGCCGCCCCAUGUGUGUGAGAGGCGUCCUCUGGGAGAGCAUGGAUCCUGAGGUCCCAGGAUUGUCAGCUGACCUCUGUCCUGUGUGCCCAGUGGCCCCAGGUGACGUGUCUUCAAGAAGAGGCUGAGCUGCGGUGCUUGUAAGAGUCAUGUGCUGUUCCUGGGGCUUGGAUGAUGUAGGGGAAGCAAGGUGAAAGUGGUAUCCCGUGGUUCCACGUUCUGUCCUGCUGUGGGGCUGUCCCUCACAUGCUUUCAGUGGCUGUUGCAGAGGAAGAGCCUCCGGAAAUCUGCGUGGGUCUCAGCCUUAGAUCCAAGGACAGUCCAAGGAAGUCCUAAGACCAUGGAGUUGGUGAUCUGGGAUCUGGGUUUGCUGAUAUUUCUCACCGUGAAUCUCUUGGUGGUGUUUGUGGGCACGAGAGGGGCAGAGAAUGGAGAGUGAGGCUACCACAUGAAGCGUCACCAGAGCUGCUCCCUGCUGCCUGCUCAGAGCACCCCGGAUCCACUGUUCAAUCUGCACAAGAUUCGGGGUCCAGACAUGGGAGACUUCAGCUGCCUCAGAGGACCGUGGACAGGGAAGGCCAGCCUCGCAUCCCUCUGUCCAUGCCUGGAAUGACUUUAAUAACCAAGAGUUUUAUUUUUGAAUUUGUAGCUGUCGUUCACUUUUUACCC